This is a long non-coding RNA of Aegilops tauschii subsp. strangulata, 3392 nucleotides long. RefSeq lists it as uncharacterized. NCBI's taxonomy places the organism in Eukaryota, Viridiplantae, Streptophyta, Magnoliopsida, Poales, Poaceae. The record is from RefSeq and is a predicted model, not a curated record.
UAAUUUUAAAAGGCUUAAUGAUAAUACAGUUGACGAUGCAUACAACAUACCUAAUAAGCAGGAAUGGAUUAACAGAAUACAAGGAAGUAAAUAUUUCUCUAAAUUCGACUUAAAGGCAGGAUUUUGGCAAGUAAAAAUGGCUGAAGAAUCUAUUCCCUGGACAGCAUUUACUUGUCCACAAGGCCAUUAUGAAUGGCUAGUAAUGCCAUUAGGUCUAAAGAAUGCGCCUGCAUUAUUUCAAAGAAAAAUGCAAAAUAUAUUUAAUGAGAAUCAAGCAUUUAUAUUGGUAUACGUAGAUGAUUUGUUAGUAUUCUCAAAAUCAUACAAAGAGCAUAUAGCCCAUCUUGAAGUGUUCUGUAGAAAGGUAGAACAAAAUGGGCUCAUACUAUCUAAAAAGAAGAUGGAAAUUUGCAAAGAGAAAACAAAUUUCCUUGGUCAUGAAAUAGGAGAAGGAAAGAUAUAUCUACAAGAUCAUAUUGCAAAGAAAAUAUUAGAGUUUCCUGAUAAUAUGAGUGAUAAAACGGUUUUACAGCAAUUCUUAGGAAUUGCAAACUAUGUGCGAAACUAUAUAGAUAACUUAGCAAAGCUACCGGACCUUUAUAUGCUAAAUUAGAAAAAAUGGUCAAAGAUACUUCAACUCUGAAGAUAUAAAAUUAGUAAAGGCCAUCAAAGAAAAAGUCAAGAAUUUAAAACCCCUAGAAUUGCCUCUAGAAGACAAUUAUUUUAUAAUUGAGACAGAUGCAUCUAAGGUAGGAUGGGGUGCGAUACUAAAACAAAAGCCCAAUAAAUACUCUCCAAAGGCAGAUGAAAAAAUAUGCAGAUAUGCUUCAGGAAGUUACAAAUUAAAAACGGUAAAUAAUAUUGAUAGGGAAAUCCUUGCAGUUGUAAAUGCAAUAAAUGCAUUUAGGCUAUAUCUAGGAUUUAAAGAAUUUACAGUGCGAACAGACUGUGAAGCUAUAUGUUGAUAUUACAAUAAAAUUAAUAGUAAGAAAAGCUCUACCAGAAGAUGGGUCUUAUUUGAAGAUACCAUAGCUGGGAAUGGUUAUAAAGUUAUUUUUGAGCAUAUUAAGGGGAAGGAUAAUACCUUACCUGACAUAUUUUCUCGUGCAUCAAAUUUGCAGAUAUGAGGAAAGGAUUAUUCCACUCCAAGGAGGAAUAUAUCUUCUUUGGAGAAGAAAAUAGGCUGAAAGUAUUUCAACCAAAUACAUUCAAUUUCAAGCCAAAGGCUCAUAUCAAGCUUGAUGAAGUUCAACGCUGCAUAUUGGAUAAUUUCUGAUUCCAAUAUACCACUAAAAGAGAGGAAAUGGGAUAUAUGUUAUCAAUUCUGAAUAGCUUGGUAGAAUAUUUUAGCGAACUAAACAAAAAAUUGCCAAAGCCAGAAAAGACUGAAAUACCAAAAAGAGAAACACUAUAUCUUAUAUUUGAUGGAAAUAAACCUGACAUAUAUUUGGAAUGGGAAAAUAUUAUGAUUGAAAAAUUAGAUGCAAAAAGAAAAGGACAAGAUUUAACAUUCAAAAGAUAUUAUAGUAUAGAUGAUGCCUUACUUUGGGCAAAAAAGGUAUUAGGACCAGAUUAUUAUAUUGACCCAAAGGCUAAAGAUUAUAUCCAAAUGAGAAGAGGCAUACCUACUUCACCAACUCCCACAAAGGGGGAGGCAUCAAGCUCAAAAAAUAUAAAGAAGGAAGAAUCUCCAAAAUAUAAGACAUAUCAAGAAUGCCUUCUAAAGGGGCUUGACCCUUUAGAUAGUGAAUACAUAGAUCAAGAAAUGGAUAAAAGAUUUGAAUAAUUUUCAAAAAUAAAGAAAAAGAAUUGAAAGAAUAAAUAUUAAAAGAAUUAAGGCAUGAAAUAAACGAAAAAUUUGAAGAAAGAAUGCGAUCAAAAAUAUGAUUUCAAUCUGUUAUAAGAUGAUGAUGAUCAUAUGGACAUAGCAGGGCAUGGGCAGCGACCUGAAUAAAGCCCAAGUUGCCUAUUGAUAUUGCUAUCAAUUAUUCGGGCGCGGAGGACUAUACCCGACCCGAAUAUUGAUAGAAAUUCCAAGAAUAGAUAUUUUAAAUAUUGAUAAGGUAUUAUCAAUCAUAUGGGUAGGGAAGACCCCCUGGAAAAAAAUUGAAAAAAAAUGAAUAAGUAAUGUUGAAUAUUUAAGCAAGUUAAAUUAAAAAUAAAUGAAGCAAUGCUGAAUAUUUAAGCAGCCUUGGCAUGUAUGUACGCAUACACUGGCACAAGGAUUCUUGAAGGCAGAAGAAGCUCGGAAGGCUAAUCGCAUGAAGAUCUGUAUGGCCGAAGAACGAAGACUGGUACACAAAGGCCAGCCAAUUAUUCACCGCGAGACAAUGCCACGUGAAGAAAGCAAAGAUUCCUGAAGAUUGAAGUUUGUCGGCACUCUCUCUCGCACUUUUCUAUAUUAUUAGAAGGACACGCAUGUACCCUGGUAGGACACGCGUGCAUACUACGGUGUGUAAAAUAAGUGAAGGAAGGCUCCCGAAGGCCUCCCUUGCAGCCAUCCCUCGGGGCUAUAAAAGGAGACGCUCAGCUCAAGAAGAGAACACAAGACGGGAGAGCACGAAGCCGUCAGAGCAUCAAAACUCUCCACCAGAGCACCGUUUCCUUCGUAGUUUGGCCACCACCACUGCUAGUAGAAUAGCCAAGAAGGCGCUUCGAUCGCCAAGAGUUUGAAGCCUUGGCAUGUAUGUACGCAUACACUGGCACAAGGAUUCUUGAAGGCAGAAGAAGCUCCGAAGGCUAAUCGCAUCAUGAUCUGUAUGGCCGAAGAACAAAGACUGGUACACAAAGGCCAGCCAAUUAUUCACCGAGAGACAAUGCCACGUGAAGAAAGCAAAGAAUCCUGAAGAUUGAAGUUUGUCGGCACUCUCUGUCGCACUUUUCUAUAUUAUUAGAAGGACACGCAUGUACCCUAGUAGGACACGCGUGCAUACUACCGUGUGUAAAAUAAGUGAAGGAAGGCUCCCGAAGGCCUCCCUUGCAGCCAUCCCUCGCGGCUAUAAAAGGAGGCGCUAGGCUCAAGAAGAGAACACAAGACGGGAGAGCACGAAGCACUCAGAGCAUCAAAACUCUCCACCAAAGCACCGUUUCCUUCGUAGUUUAGCCACCACCACUGCUAGUAGAAUAGCCAAGAAGGCGCUUGGAUCGCCAAGAGUUUGAAGGUAAUUUCCUAGUUGUGUGUAAUCCCUUCGGGGCCUCCCGAAAGGGAAAACCAUAUGUAAAUUAUGUUGUGGAAAUGAUGUAGUUUCUUGGUCUCACUUACUAUUUUUAUUUAUGAAUUUAUGGGACGAGUUCUUAUGCUAGGGAUCCUAUAGGAGAAACCUCUGCGUGUGUAGUUCUCUGUGUAGCCCAGAGUGGCGUUUGAAUGAGAACCCUGUGGCCGUAGAGAAGUA